GCCGGCGUAGCUCAGUUGGCAGAGCAACUGAUUUGUAAUCAGUAGGUCGGGAGUUCGAAUCUCUCCGCCGGCACCA
RNAcentral lists this transfer RNA (76 nucleotides) under Alphaproteobacteria bacterium. Its description in RNAcentral is "tRNA-Thr". It matches the Rfam family "tRNA". From Rfam's summary of the family: Transfer RNA (tRNA) molecules are approximately 80 nucleotides in length. Their secondary structure includes four short double-helical elements and three loops (D, anti-codon, and T loops). Further hydrogen bonds mediate the characteristic L-shaped molecular structure. tRNAs have two regions of fundamental functional importance: the anti-codon, which is responsible for specific mRNA codon recognition, and the 3' end, to which the tRNAs corresponding amino acid is attached (by aminoacyl-tRNA synthetases). tRNAs cope with the degeneracy of the genetic code in two manners: having more than one tRNA (with a specific anti-codon) for a particular amino acid; and 'wobble' base-pairing, i.e. permitting non-standard base-pairing at the 3rd anti-codon position. The record is from RNAcentral. RNAcentral also lists the same sequence under 2 other names. Lineage: Bacteria; Pseudomonadati; Pseudomonadota; Alphaproteobacteria.